UCUGAAAGGGAAAAUAACCCAGAUAGAGAGAGACAGAUCGAGAGAAGGAGAAGAACUGAAGUAAACUGAGAAGAUCGAGAGAGACAGGUCGAGAUAGUUAGGUCGAGAUCUGAAAUCCCAUGAAUUUUUAAAGCGUGAAGAACAGAACUGAGAAGAUCCAAGGAUACUGAAACAGAAUGGGUAAUGAGGAUAGGAAUUUCUGGAUACACGGAGUCUGUGACCAAGGACAAUCAAAAAAUUUGUGAUCACCAACACAAGCAUCACAACCUCCUUUGUACUGAGGUGCCAUGGAUUUAAUUGCAUCAUCAAACCAUUCGAAGUACGAACACAUAGGAUUAGAGCAAGAGAAGAAUUUCUUCCCAGAAUUAGCAUCAUCUUGCCUUAAUAAGUUUUCAAAUACCAUUACAAGGAACUAAUUUACCUUGUGUAGAUCCAAGGACAAUCAAUUGAUUGAUGAUUUUUUUCGUUGCACAUCUCACAUUCCUGCAAAUUAAGUAAAAAUUAAAGUGAUUAUUGAUACUACCGAUCCCUAA
Long non-coding RNA from Papaver somniferum (opium poppy), 533 nucleotides. RefSeq lists it as uncharacterized. The transcript has 2 exons. The record is from RefSeq and is a predicted model, not a curated record. NCBI's taxonomy places the organism in Eukaryota, Viridiplantae, Streptophyta, Magnoliopsida, Ranunculales, Papaveraceae.